UCUUUCACAAGGAAACCAGAACUAUGGUUAUGUUGUGCUCUGUCCAGGUAAUGUUUUAACAGUGAAUUUCCUGACUCCUCUCAAAGCCAUUAUUAACUAAUUAAUGAUCACAUUGAAGGAUUUGUCUUCUUUUUCUUAGCUAUCACUGUACUGGCAGUGAGCUGACCUGUACUUUAACUUCCACUGUGGUAGGUUUAGUACUAUUGUACUAAUGACAAUUACUCUGAUUUAUGACUAUUAGGUGAGAAUGGAAUUUUCCCCAGUAAGUUUCUUAUAACCUGUGAGUACUGCAGUAGUAUCAGGGUUGAUUCAGACUGAAUCUAAAACAUAAAGCAACGCUCAUUGUCAAGCUGGAAGUGCAUGGACAUGAACUCACAUCGUGGAUGCUUUCUAUGCACUGUGAACACUGCAGGCUACUUCAUGUCCCUGCUAUUGAAAUCCUGUGGUUUUCUUUCAUAGAAAAGGGAUCUGUCUGUAUGCUUUAUAAAACUUAUGAACUCAUUGCAAAGAGAAAACAAAUGGACAGUGUAGAACAUUUCUCAAUAGCUUAGCUGAAAAGAGUUUUUCCUCCAGAAAUUUUUUUCUAAGGGAAAACCAUAGUACUGAUUGCAACACAACCACAGCAUGGAGCGAGCCUACGGGGAUGGUGACUACUGGCAUCAUUCAAACAAGGUGCUAUUUUGUCCUCUCUGGUCUUUUGGUCGAAUUAAUAAGCAUAAAUUCUGGUUUGCUGGGUUCCUGAAAAGCAAAAUGGGAUGCUUGAACACCUGAACAAGAGCUGUGUAGCAAAGGAGGGUGAAAAAGAAGAUGGACCACUCUGAAAUUACUGUUAGGCAGGUCCAUUUCUCUCCACCCAUAUUUCAGUCCUCCUUAGACUGGGGAUGACCUAAGCAGAAACCCUGGACAACCCAAGCACAGCAAGCCAGAAGAAGAUGAUAUUAAUGCUCCUACUGCAUGCCUACAAGGAGUAGCUCCACAAAGAUCUGGGCAACAUUUUGGCAGUGAAGACAAGAUUUCAGUGAUGCUCCAAAAAAGAAGGGUAAAUAAAAGCUGAAUGUAAAGCCCAAUGUAGCAAGAUUUCCUCUGCAGAAUGGAUGCUUGCUUUUUCAUUGCACCAGCUGAAUUCUCUAAAAUAAACAGAAUAACCAAUUUAAAGCAGAUGCAUGGAACAACAAUCAGGUUUCAUUUCUGGUUUUAAUCUUUUUGAACCACAGCAUUUGGCACUCGGAGCUCAAAGGAACUGCAGGCUGUAUCAGGAGUUUGCUGUAACUUAGCAGCUUGGAGGAAGCAGAUUUGUGACUACAUAACAGGGAGAGAUGAAACAGCUCUGUUCAGAUAACUGGAUUAUAAUAAAAUAUGCAAGUUGGAACCUGGAGACAAAUGAACAUCCAGAGCUUCUUCCCAUGAAAUGUUAUCAAAUGCAGCUUGGGAACAACAGAGCUGAACAGUCAGUGGCCAGCUCCAGCACUGCGUCUGAAGUGAUGAAACAGUGAACUCAGGAGUUUUAUUGGUAGUUACUAUUCUGUGUGCCACCAAAAAAAAAAAAAAAAAGAAAAAAAAGUGUGGAGUAAAUCAAUGUUAUGUGAAAUCUGGGCUCAUGAAUGAAGAGUAGUCCGAUACCAUUUCAGUUCCCUUUGUGAAUUCUGGGAGCGCCUUCUUCUUUUUUUUUUUUUUUUUUUACAAGGCAGCAAAACCAAAAAAAAUCAUGAAAGCCACAUGGGCCUGAUUUCCCAUUUCCCUGCUCGCUGUGCUAUCAUUUACCUCAGAGACUUUGCAUCGCAUUGUGUGACUACCCACAGCAUCUGAUCCCAUGAGGCUGAAGUCAUUCUUCAAACAGCAAUCGUCUUUUAAGGACUCGAUGGAGGGGGAAGAUGAUGCCAGGCAAGACAGCAAAGCCCACACAAAGAAAUAUCUUUCAGACAAGCUGGAAAUUCCCUGGAGACCAGUCUUGUGACAUGGUUACACCAUCACAGACACUUUUCCAAAACAGUGGCUAUGAUGGGUGCCUCUUGACAAUUUGCCUGAGAAAAAAAGUGAAAAGCAGGGUGUUACUUACCUGCAUGUUCACACCGGGUUGCUGGGACAUUUGCUGAGAGCAGAGAUACCCCAAAACAGUAUUGGAGGAAAGCUUCACAAAUUUGUUGGGACCUCAGCAGGGUCUUCUUGUUUCUGCUUAUUUCUUCCAUGUAGUUUGAAGGGAUAAUUUAGAUGCUAUCGCUCUGGGAUGUGUGAGCCAUUCAAAAAAACCUUUCUCUGGAAAACCAGAUCUCUCUGGGUGCCCGGGUGAAUGGCAGGCUGGGCCCGCUGCUGCUGUGUCCGCCCGUCUUUGGAGACGCAGGUUAUUUCAACUGUCUCUCCUUUGCUUCAAGUCAAGAGGGAGAGAGGGCUGUGGCUGCAGUAGCAGGGGAGGGAUGCAGCGCAGAGGCUUGCUCUGAAUGAAGUGGUAAGGAGCAGGAUGGUAUGCACGAGGGUAGAGCCCAGUCCAUCACUUAGCAAACGAGUUUUCUCUCAUUUGCCCUUUGUUUCUGAUUCUUUCUUCACUUUUUUUUUUUUUUUUCCUUUGUGAGUGAUUUAUCCUUAAGUGAUUUAUCUUUAUGUUCCCUGUAAGUAGACAUUAAGUAGCAGUAAAAAUUCAAAGGAAUCUCUGUCACAGUGUCUGAUGAACACCACUAACCUGCAGUGAAGAUAUCUACCUUGUCAUGUUCACUGAAGGCUCAUAUCCUGAUUCAAACUAUGGUCUGCUGAUGGUUUUUUCUUCCUGGAUUUACAGCUCUGAAUGGUGAGAUCACAGCACAGCCUGAUAUUUCUUGUCCUUUCCAAAUGUGGAGAAAGACUCCCUUUUGCAGCUCACAUACGUGUAAUUCAUUUGUGUUCACAGCCUCCCAUUUGGAUCUCCAGGUCUUUUUAAAAACAACUCCACUCCUCCCCCUUCUCCACUGCUUACAUGUAGGUUCAGCAUGCAUUAGCCUAUUUCUGUAUAACGACACUCACAAAACAAUACCAGAAAUUAUGAAACCACUUAAGCUUUCAGGCAAAAAAAAAAUAAAAAUCUGAAACUGUUUAUAUUUACAAAUGGUACCUAUUUAAACAGUUCUUGCAACUAUUGCUUCCUCUGGUAGCAAGUUUAAUAAUAAUAAGUAAAAAAAAAAAAAAAAAAAGAAUUUAAUUCCAAAAGGAUAAAUAUGACAACAGAUAUUUACAGAAGAAUUGGACUGUUUUUAUGAAAAGAACAUUUUCUCCGCAGCUUUCCAAAUGGUAUCUAAACAACUGGACUUGCAAAGAUUAAAACACAAUCUAUUAGUCCAGCGCAGAAAAAAUAUAACCCCAAGCGUUCUUGCAAUAACAGCACAUUACUGAUAGAGUGGAGACUGCAGUGCCAUUCUUCUACCCCAUAAUUCUCUUUUAUUUCAUUAAACUCCUUCUGCAACACAAAGAGAUUGUUAUGUGAAAUAGGUGAAUAAUUUCUGCAUAAUAUUUUCCAAAAAUGCAUGAAUAAAGAAGAGGAAAUACAUAGGCUUUGCUUGCAGAAAUGGCACUUAGCCCUUGAGAAGCAUCAAAGAAACUUAGAAGUGUGGGACAAUGAGCAAAUUUUCCAACCCAGACCUUGCGCACUGCAGCCCUGCCCCUGUAGUCUCCCUUUGAGGCAUGUGGAUGUUUGCAUAUUUUGAUGGGCACGAUGACAGCCUUAUCAACUGAUAGGAGCUUCAUCCUGAGUUCUGCUGAGAAAUAACAGUAAAGCUGUAUUUGGAUGCUACAUGAACUCAAUUAUCCCUUUCUUUAGAAACAAUGCAACGAGAGACGCCUCUGUCUUGCUGGUCAGGUAAGAUAUGAAGAAGAGAUUAAACCACCACAACUUCCAAACCAAUGGGCUACAAGAGCAGUUUGCUCCUUUCCAUAACAGGCUGCUGUUUUUCUUGCAGCAUCCUAAGAGACAUCUGGGUGGUGUGGCAGGUGCCUUGGACAAAGAAGUGGACACCUAAACCCAAGUGUGUAAUGAGUGCAUGCUGCCACCCACCUGAAGUACAGCCAUGGAGAGCAAUGACUCCGGUGACACCUUCCUUAUGUACUGAGUCCGGGGGGAUCAGUCCAGGACUGAUGCACCUUCAAGGUGUUGAUGCUGCACGCCUAGGACAGGCCCUCCAGUGCUGCCCACGAUGGAUGGUUUUGCUGCACUGUCAUUUGCACUUAGUGAUUUCCAACGUACCUAGCCUAAGUUUAUGAUGUAGGAAAAAACCCAGUAAGGAAUAAUAUGCAAAUAAAAGAGACCUGAAUGAA
Long non-coding RNA from Cygnus olor (mute swan), 4275 nucleotides. RefSeq lists it as uncharacterized. The transcript is spliced from 3 exons. The record is from RefSeq and is a predicted model, not a curated record. Lineage: Eukaryota; Metazoa; Chordata; Aves; Anseriformes; Anatidae.